This 61-nucleotide transfer RNA is filed under the name Cambarus robustus. RNAcentral describes it as "tRNA-Gly". The record is from RNAcentral. Lineage: Eukaryota; Metazoa; Arthropoda; Malacostraca; Decapoda; Cambaridae.
AAUUUUUUAGUAUAAUGUAUAUUUGGCUUCCAACCAAAAGGUCUAGGGUCUAGAAAAAUUA